This 216-nucleotide ribosomal RNA is filed under the name Triticum aestivum (bread wheat). RNAcentral describes it as "partial small subunit ribosomal RNA". The record is from RNAcentral. Lineage: Eukaryota; Viridiplantae; Streptophyta; Magnoliopsida; Poales; Poaceae.
AUGAAUUGCCUCAGCUGGAAUUGUCGCGGGCUUGGGAACCCAGCGACAGUUCACGAGCUUCGCAGUGUGGUGAAGCAAGAAGGGCCCGGUCUCUUAUUUCUGAUGGAGACUAAGAUUGCGGCAAAAAGGGUACAAAGUCUGUAAAAUCUUCUGGGCUUUGCGGGCUGUUUUGCAAUUGAUAGCGAUGGUCUAAGCGGUGGCAUUGGUCUAUUCUGG